UCCUCUCCGCCAUCUUGGCUCCUCUCCAAGGAGUGAAGGGGAAUUAAAGACAUUCACAGAUGAGUGAAAACUAAGAGUAUGUGCCAUCAGCAGAUCUACCCUGAAAAGAACAGCUAACAAAAAUUCUGUAAACCAAAAGGAAAUU
This is a long non-coding RNA of Suricata suricatta (meerkat), 145 nucleotides long. RefSeq lists it as uncharacterized. The transcript is spliced from 2 exons. The record is from RefSeq and is a predicted model, not a curated record. Lineage: Eukaryota; Metazoa; Chordata; Mammalia; Carnivora; Herpestidae.